AUUUAAAUAAUUUAAUUAAAAAUAUUGAUUUGUGGAAUCAAAAAUAUGAUAGAAAUCAUUUUAAAUU
This 67-nucleotide transfer RNA is filed under the name Mycalesis francisca (lilacine bushbrown). Its description in RNAcentral is "tRNA-His". Lineage: Eukaryota; Metazoa; Arthropoda; Insecta; Lepidoptera; Nymphalidae. The record is from RNAcentral.